Molecule: ribosomal RNA, 492 nt
Filed under: uncultured bacterium
Lineage: Bacteria
Description: partial 16S ribosomal RNA
Rfam family: Bacterial small subunit ribosomal RNA
Source: RNAcentral
AGUGAACGCUGGCGGUAGGCCUAACACAUGCAAGUCGAACGGCAGCACAGUAAGAGCUUGCUCUUACGGGUGGCGAGUGGCGGACGGGUGAGGAAUACAUCGGAAUCUACUUUUUCGUGGGGGAUAACGUAGGGAAACUUACGCUAAUACCGCAUACUACCUACGGGUGAAAUCAGGGGUGAUUCGUACCUUGCGCGAUUGUAUGAGCCGAUGUCGGAUUAGCUAGUUGGCGGGGUAAAGGCCCACCAAGGCGACGAUCCGUAGCUGGUCUGAGAGGAUGAUCAGCCACACUGGAACUGAGACACGGUCCAGACUCCUACGGGAGGCAGCAGUGGGGAAUAUUGGACAAUGGGCGCAAGCCUGAUCCAGCCAUACCGCGUGGGUGAAGAAGGCCUUCGGGUUGUAAAGCCCUUUUGUUGGGAAAGAAAAGCAGCAGGUUAAUACCCCGCUGUUCUGACGGUACCCAAAGAAUAAGCACCGGCUAACUUCGUG